Molecule: transfer RNA, 70 nt
Filed under: Ovis aries (sheep)
Lineage: Eukaryota; Metazoa; Chordata; Mammalia; Artiodactyla; Bovidae
Rfam family: tRNA
About the family: Transfer RNA (tRNA) molecules are approximately 80 nucleotides in length. Their secondary structure includes four short double-helical elements and three loops (D, anti-codon, and T loops).
Source: Rfam by way of RNAcentral
UCCCUGGUGGUCCAGUGGUGAAGACUGUGCUUUCAAUGCAGGGGCUUGGGUUCAAUCCCUGGUCAGGGAA